UCUCGGCUUAUCACCGGCAGUCCCCCUAGAGUGCCCAACUGAAUGAUGGCAACUAAGGGCGAGGGUUGCGCUCGUUGCGGGACUUAACCCAACAUCUCACGACACGAGCUGACGACAGCCAUGCAGCACCUGUGUUCCCGCCAGCCGAACUGAAGGAUCCCAUCUCUGGAACCCAUACGGGACAUGUCAAGGGCUGGUAAGGUUCUGCGCGUUGCUUCGAAUUGAACCACAUGCUCCACCGCUUGUGCGGGCCCCCGUCAAUUCCUUUGAGUUUCAGCCUUGCGGCCGUACUCCCCAGGCGGGGCAUUUAAUGCGUUAGCGUCGGCACGGGAGGAGUCGACACCAAGUAUGCAUCGUUUAGGGUGUGGACUAC
RNAcentral lists this unclassified non-coding RNA (373 nucleotides) under uncultured Alphaproteobacteria bacterium. Its description in RNAcentral is "contains 16S-23S intergenic spacer region". Lineage: Bacteria; Pseudomonadati; Pseudomonadota; Alphaproteobacteria. The record is from RNAcentral.